GGAAAGGCUGAGAACAGGACUAGUACAGCCUGAGGCGGAGUUCAGAGAGUCGGGGAAGGUGUGAGCCGACACUUGCGCAAGGCGGGAAUGGACCUGGGAGCCGCAAACCGAAAGGUCAAUUCCGAGUAGGCUUUGCCGCAGGGGCAGCGUUAUCAGAGUCCAGGGUAUCGCCAGGUUGGGCUGUACCUGAAAAGAGAUGGCCGAAAAGGCCAAAAGAGGGUGGCACCGCGAAGGUUAAACCUCUCGCCCCUUGG
This 254-nucleotide non-coding RNA is filed under the name Chloroflexota bacterium. Its description in RNAcentral is "Chloroflexi bacterium T-box sequence". It matches the Rfam family "T-box leader". From Rfam's summary of the family: Uncharged tRNA acts as the effector for transcription antitermination of genes in the T-box leader family. T-boxes are found upstream of many aminoacyl-tRNA synthetase genes and some amino acid biosynthetic genes usually in Gram-positive bacteria. The record is from RNAcentral. Lineage: Bacteria; Bacillati; Chloroflexota.